Molecule: long non-coding RNA, 14570 nt
Organism: Mus musculus (house mouse)
Lineage: Eukaryota; Metazoa; Chordata; Mammalia; Rodentia; Muridae
Product: predicted gene, 33721
Exons: 2
Source: RefSeq, a predicted model, not a curated record
GGCAAGACAGCCUGGGGAGGCAAGGCAGACAGGAGGAUUGGAGCGCUGGUUUAAGCUGUGUUAGAAGCCUACAUGUCUGAGCUGUACCAAGAGUGCGCAGUGCUCUGUGGAGUUGUGAAACACUUGACGCGGGUCUCCUGCCAUUCUGAAUGGUCACUACCUCCAAUCAGGAACAGCAAGCAGGUACCUAGGCCGUGGCCAGCCCUGACAUCUCACUGGGCCUUUAGAUGACCUGGAGGUGGUACUAUUCAUCGACAACAUAGAAAGACAUCACUGUAACUGAGAGGUUACAACCUCUGUUGUGCAACCUGCACAAAAAGGGACGGACUGGGAGCGGGAGCCCAGGCAUGCCCAGCAGCGCGGACAGGACCACACAGGCUCGGCUGCUUCGGUGACUCAGCAGAUCCAAGCUGGGCGAGAGCUCUGUCCCAAGUGGUAACAGAGGGCAGGGCAGGCUCACGCCGGCCUCUGCCCACGCUGCCAAGCUACCAGACCCAGGAAUUCACCAUGGCACUGGGGAAGGAGCAGAGCUGUCUGAAGGAACAGUUAACCAAAGGUUAACCAUCUCUACAUGAAUGGAACUUUCCAGCACUUGGCCCCUUGCCUGCUCUGUGAGCACAAUGUGCACCUCGUGACCACUUAAUCUACCCAGGACUCCAGGGGUCUCCUCUACCAACAGGUAGGUCUGAAUGAAUCCCACCCCUGCUGAGUUCUUCUCAAAGGAAACCGAAGCAGCCUGCUUUCUUUCACUUGUUCCUUUCCUUUGAAAGAAAUUGGGGAUUGGGAGGAGGACACAAAACAGCUCUUACAAUUUUCUUUUCCUUUUCUUUUUUCUUGAGAAUUGGUCACGGCAGGAGGAUAUUCUAGGUCUAAGGCUCUGUCUGGGUUGUAAUUCCAGAGCAUUUUUCUGAGAAUGUUGAACACAGGAUCACAAUCGGGCUUCUAUUCUGUGCCCUGGAGGAAGCUUUCCGCUCUCCCUUAGAGCAAGCUCAGCAACUGUCUGCCACCCUCCCCUGCCCACCCAGGGGCGCCAGGCCUGCCCGACCCUCUGUGCUCUUUGCCAGGACUGUGAAAGGGAAAAGUAAAACCGUGUCUCAAGUCUCCCACAAAGCUACAAAAUGGGAAAAAAAAAAAAAACCCGCUGAUGGCAAAAUAAGCAAAGGAUCUGAACAGGAAAUUACAGAAGAUAAAAUGCAAAGGAAAAAACAAAACAAAACAGGAAAAUACCUCCACCCUCCUCAGGUCAAAGUUAGUGAGAGGUUAAGCUCUCUGCUUUUUGUUUGUUUUGCCUUUGUUUUUCAAGACAGGGUUUCUCUGUGUAGCCCUGGAUGUCCCAGAACUCUGUAGACCAGGCUGGCCUCAAACUCAGAGAUCCACCUGCUUCUGCCUCCCAAGUGCUGGGAUUAAAGUCUUGCAUCACCACCACCAGGCCCCUUUCUCUGUUCUUAUUAGCAAAGAAUACAUUUUAAAAAUAAAACUGGUAUCAGUGACGAUAAGAUAAAAGAAACAGGUCAAGGGCUGGAGGGAAAGCAGUUAAGAGCAGGCGCUGCUCUUGCAGCGCAUAUGGGUUCAGUCCCUGGCAGCUUACAACUGUCAAUAACUCCGAGUUCUAACUUCUAUGGCCAGGCACUACAUGGAAAUGGUACAUAUAAUAUAAAAAUAAAUAUUGCUUUGAAAAGCAAGUCAAUUCACCAUCAGACAGAGUGUAAAUAAACUGGUGUAGACAGUUGGAAAGAAAUUUGACACUACAUGUAUGUAGCAACCUUUAAAAAGGGUUAUCCCAAGCUAGGUACAGUGGCGCACACCUUUAAUACCAGCACUGGGAAGCAGAGGCAGGUGGAUCUUUGUGAGUUCGUGGUCAGCCUGAUCUACAUAGUGACCUCCAGGAUAGCCAGGGCAACAAAGAGAGAGUCUAUUUCAAAAACAAUAAAAGUGGGGAGGGGAUGGUAGUUGUGGUGGUGGUGGUGUGGUGGUGGUGGUGGUGGUGGUGGUGGUGGUGGUGGUGGUGGAGGUGGAGGUGGAGGUGGAGGUGGUAGAGGUGGUAGAGGUAGUGGUGGCAGCAGUGGCAGAGGCAGUGGUAAUACUGUGCCAUCUGUUUGCCCAAAUAAUUUCUUUUUUUUUUUUUCAGACAAGAUCCCACUAUGUAGUUCCAGCUAGCCUGGUACCAGGCUGGCCUAAGAUUCACAAAGAUAAGCCUGCCUCAGCUUCCUAAGUGCUGGGAUGAAAGGCAUGUGUCACCCACCACAGCUGUUUAAAUUAGCUGUUCCGUCUAAAGAUAUCACAUGGCACACAGUAUUCACUUAGUGGAUGUACAGGAAUUUUCUUAUUUCCUUAUAAUCAAUGAUCAAAAACAUCUAAAUAACUAUAGAGAAGUUAAGCUUUGGGUUACGUGGCUGGAGAGAUGGCUUCCAUGACUGGCAGCUUACAACUCUGAUGCCCUCUUCUGGCCUCGGUGGGUAUUACAUACACAUACACAAUAUUUUUAAAAUAAAAUUAUGGGUAUACUUAAGAUGAGAUAUUACAACAACUAUUUAAAUUAUUCUCUAGCAAACAACUUGGGAAAUACUCCUGUAAAUGUCAAGUUUAAAAAGGACACAAGAUAAGCCAGGCGUGGUGGCUUAAUCCCAGUACUUGGGAGAUAGAGGCAGGCGGAUUUCUGAGUUCGAGGCCAGCCUGGUCUACAAAGUGAGUUCCAGGACAGCCAGGGCUAUACAGAGAAACAAUAAGAAAGAAAAAAAAAAAGGACACAUGAUUAUAUAUACACUAUUCCUAACCUUAUUACAUAGCUAAAGAAGAUGCAGUGAGCGUCACCAGAAUAGCGACCCAAUUGGUGAGAUGAGUGAACUGUUUUAUUACAAAGAGUUGAUUUUUCCAUCUCUGUGUGUGAGUUAAACAUAAAUUAUUUAUGUAGUAACAUUUAGUAAAAUGUUAACAGGAAUUGUCUUUGGGGCUGAGACAAUGAGUGGUGGUUUCAUCUUUUGGUGUUCUGUCCAUUUUGAACCUUUCUAAUAUGUCUGCUGACUGUUAGACUGGGGAUCAGCUGCAAGCCUGUUGCUAUCUCCAGUGUGAAAAGGAAGAUGCAAGAUAGAGCAACAAGGGACAGAAAAUCCUCAUGACCGGCUCCACCAGAUGGGGGCCUUGUAGAAAGUUCAGUGCAAUAAAUGCUAGGGACCUCGGGCUUGCUGACAACACAGGUUUUGUGGCCAGAGCUUGUCCUCACCACAAAGACUUUUAGGUUUACAGACAAAAGAGCCAGCCAUCACCACUCUGCUGGGAUAGGCUCGGGAGCCCACCACCCCCUGCUCGGGCCUGCACACAGCUAAGUCUAUGCUGGGAUGCAGGCAGAAAGAGGGCAAGCCCAUCCAAACAAACCAGGGAAAGAGGAGAGCAGGCGGACCUUCCUUUCUGGGAGGGAAAAAACAAAACAAUGCCGGGCGGUGGUGGCGCACGCCUUUAAUCCCAGCACUUGGGAGGCUGAGGCAGGAGGAUUUCUGAGUUCGAGGCCAGCCUGGUCUACAAAGUGAGUUCCAGUACAGCCAGGGCUAUACAGAGAGACCCUGUCUCGAAAAACCAAAAAAAACAAAACAAAACAAAAAAAAAACCCCACCAAACAAACAAACAAACAAAAAAAACACCCUCCACAUGAAUGUUACAACACGAAUGUGUGACAGACUGGGCAAGAGAUGAGCAGAGAUGAGGCUGGGCUGUUCUCUGAGACCGUAUGAUUGUAAAGGGCCAGAGGAUAUCAGAAUAUCUUCUCUGGCUAACAUUGGGCACCACCGGGUAUUUGGCAUCUCCUGCAUAUCCUUUGUAAAAGGACAUUGCUCAGAGAAAUCAGAACACUUCUUUUUAUUUCAAGUCUGACCUAAGGCUUCCUCAGUUACUUCAUACAGUGUACUAGGAGAAUAUGCACACACAUGCUCAUUCCUUUCCUGCCUUCAAAGAAGCCGUGCACAAUUUGUGUGUGUGUGUGCUUUUGUUUGUUUAUUUACUUUUGUUUUUCACAUCUUCCAACACUUUAUAACCUUAUUAAACAUAUAGACACUGGUGUCUUCAGGCUAGCAGCCUGGCGACAUCAUCUUUGUCCUGGUUUAUUUACUCUUUUAUUGAGACAGGGCCUUACUAUGUUUACGUGGCCCAGGCUGUCCUUGAACUUGUGAUGGCCUGCCUUUGCUUUCCAAGUGCUAGGACUGACCACACCCAACAUUCGCACAAAUAUUUCCCACAUCUUUCACUCUCUUAAAACAGAAUCUGUCCCCAGCACUCAGGAGGCAGAGGCAGGCGGAUUUCUGAGUUCGAGGCCAGCCUGGUCUACAAAGUGAGUGCCAGGACAGCCAGGGCUAUACAGAGAAACCCUGUCUCGAAAAACAAACAAACAAACACCAGAAUCUGUCAAUAAUAUAACUAGGAGAAACUUAUUUAUAGUCAGUAAUACUCCCUGUCUGUAAUACAAGUGAAAAAUGAAUUAAAGUUGGUUAACAGAACACCCAAGUUAAUAUGUAAACACAUCUAUACACGGGACAUUAUCAAUGCACUGCAUAAUGAGACACGGGAACUUUUUAUAAAUCACCUCUACUCAUACAUUUGGCAGUGGUCGUCUUGAAAAUUCGGUAUAAAUUAAAAACAUGCAGAAAUGAUUCACUUUUGUGUAGCAUGAAGUCCGGCUCCAGGCUCAGAUCACAGACAGGGAUGCUCACCACACAUUCAGCAGCUGUGUGGAUGGACAAUCCGGCCUUCUGGAAGGAUUAUCCUUCCCACAGAUGGCCUUGUCUGCUCACAGCACCUACCAAGCCACCCAUGCAUUUCCCAAAUGCCCUCCAGGGGGCGUGUCACCCACUCAGAGCUUCAUACUACAGCCCUCCUUUUUUCAACUGACAGGAAAGGCCUAGAAAUUCAGAUAUUUAUCCAAAGCCAAACAGAAAAAUCAGUAGCUGACAGGAUUUGAAGAGAAGGAGGAAGAGGAAGGGCUCGUGGAGGAAGAAGGAAGUCACCAAGCAAAUAUUUACUCUAGAGGCACCAGACACUGUGGCAGGCAUUUUCCAUAGUACGCAGCUUUCUGCUGCAGGUAGCGAGCGCCCUGUCCACCUCAUCCUUUCAGGUGACGACACAGCAUUUCAGGGAGGUGACUCCUCUCUCUCCCCUGGAAUCCACUGUGGGGACUGUCAAGCAGAUCUUACCCAGCCCUUAGGCACCGCUUCAAGCUGUUUCCUCUGCAGAUCUCAGGGCCCUCAUAGGCUGAUGUCUCUAUAAACCUGACUGGAACACACGGAAAACAGCUCACCAAGAGAAAGAUGGCCUGGUCCUGUCCUGUCAAGCUCCCUUCGAAGCUUUUGCCUACACUUGGGGCAGGGCCUGAGUAGACGAGACACUGCAGGAAAUGCACACUGAACUCCUGCCUCCCACAUUAAGGAACUUACGGGAUUGGUGGCCAUUGAAUCCCCUUGCCUGGACAUAGCCAGGUUGCUCUGAGAAGACUGAACACUGUGUUAGAGGUUUGUAGACACUGUUCUCUGUUGUCCAACGUUAGACACGAAGGCUGUGAGUAGCCACUUUAACAAGAGGCCCCCUGUCUGUCCCACACAACCCAUAUCUGUCACCUUGACCUAAUCCCAUCACCUCAGGAGUCUUGUGAGACCUGGCUGAGCCAGGAUGACCCCACCGCUGCUGACAGCAGAGGCCUCGGUCCUUGCAGCCUUUCUAUCAAAACAAACUCUGAAGAGGUUUCAGGGAAAAGGGCUCAAUUCUGGCUCCUGACAAAUGACUUCUUGCAAAAGAAGUCAAGCAAGGCUAUCCCAAGGCUACUUAUGGACUUAUUUUUAGCAUGAUAGACGGAAGACUGUAGGUUACUGGAGCACCAGAGCUCAUAGCAUAGGCUCGGAAGUCACUGCCAGGGGCCCAACUCCAACUCUGAACCCGUCCGUGCACCUCCAUUCCUCCCUAGUGAAAUGAGGCUCCUGGCAGUGUGUACUCAAGUACAAGAGCCUGAGGAAGAUGCUUAGAACACUGAACACACAAGGCAAGUGCACACUUGCUUACCACCUCCUUGUUACUAUCAGACUGACUGCAAGUCACCUGAAGAAUGGCUAGAGGUCUGUACCCACAUACAGGCACAUAUAUGAAAUAUGUAUAUAUGUGUGUGUGUGUGUGUGUGUGUGUGUGUAUUUGUUUUUGUUUUUUUUCCCCUCCAAAGGGAUCAGAAAGAUGGCUCAGAGUGCUGUCAUGGUUUGAAUAUGCUUGGCCCAGGGAGUGGCACUAUUUGGAGAUGUAGCCUUGUUGGGUAGGUGUGUCACUAUGGGAGUGGGCUUUGAGCCCCUCAAGUCAGUCUUCUACUAGCAGCCUUUAGAUGAAGAUGUAGAACUCUCAGCUCCUCCUGCACCGGGCCUGCCUGGAUGCUGCCAUGCUCCCACCAUGAUGAUCAUGGACUCAACCUCUGAAUCUGUAAGCCAGCCCCAAUGAAAUGCUGUCCUUAGAAGAGUUGCCUUGGUCAUGGUGUCUCUUCAACACAGAGGUAAGACCUUAACUAAGGCAAGUGCAAACUGCUGUUUUGCAAAGGACCCAAGUUUGGUUCCCAGUACCCACAUUGGAUGACUUGCAGUUACCUCUAACUCCAGCUCCUGAGGAUCUAAUACCUUCUGUCUGCUGCUGGCAUCUGUGCUCACAUGCUCAUAACCACACAGAGAUACACACAUAUGCACAUAAGAUAACUCCUAAAGGAAUGGUUGGAGAGACACAUAAGAAUAGAGAAGAAGAGACUAGGAGCUGUGUUUUCCUGCUUGUGAAGUGGAGCCAUGCCAGGCCUACAGAUCUUUGUUCUGUGUGGCUACAAGGGGCAAAAGUAGGUCAAGGAGGGAACACUGGCAAGCAGACUGGAGGUCAGAAGAAAGAAGAAACUUCUACAUGCCAACGGUGUCCGGAAGAGGGAAUGGAUGUCUGGUGGCUAGGUGCCUGAGGCCAUAAGAUGGCCCAUCAUGUGCCAUAUAGGCAGGCUUGCCUGUACCAGUCCGAGGCCAGGGAAAGUGACCUCGGAUGCCCCUUCCACUGAAGCACCUAUUGCUUCAAUAAACUGUGAAAGUACUGAUGGCAAGGGUGUGGCUGGGAGGCCUAAGGAAAGCGGGGUGGACUUUGGACUGGCAGUGGCACACACAGCCCUCCCUCGGGCUUUCACUUUCUGCAGUCACAGCACCAGUGACCAGCUACGGUUCAAAGAACCAAACACAUUUCCUAAAUAACCACUGGGGUGCUGGGGUAGCAUCAGAGUGAGGCCUGGGCUAGGACAUCAUCCUGUUGACUUUCUACUUGGGGGACUUCAAGUCAGCUUCAUUUACUGGGCUGAUGGUGGAGGGGGCUCAAGUACAAAGCAGAGGGCCAGCCUAUCUCACAUGCUCUGAUGGGCCCUGGAAGCCAGGACCCUGACUUCACUUACAGCAUCCUCUCUACAAAGGAUCCAGGGUUCUUCACCUUCUGCUUUUCCCCACUGCUUCACCACACAACCACAGACACAUGCCCUAGGUCUUACCAGUGGGUACCUUCUGGGCCCACGUGCACAAAGCAAGUUCCUACGACAGAGACAGAGAAAAGACCAGGAGCAAGGGGGAGGGUGGUGGAGAAGAGAGUACUACUCCAACAGUGGGUAUCUAGGGAGCACUGCUGCCUUUAUAAACCAUAAAACUAAAAAUAAAUUUAGAACUAGGGACUAUUUGCCAACAAAUGUUGUUUGUAUUGAAACAAAACAAUUCAAGAAAAAAAUUAUAUUUCCUGAACUAUAGCUAGUGGACCAUUUUCCAAGUAUUUCCUGUACUCGUUUCUGGUCAUUCACAUAGUCUCAGCUCAGUCACUUGAGAGUGGCUGUGGGUGUCAGACAGGGAGAGAGAAAAAGACGGCACAGAAACAACUCUGGGGACACCCAGGUACUCCGUUUGCCUCUAGCAACAUCUGGUGACAUUAGGAGGAUCUCUGGCUAGGCUGGCUAAAAUUCCACUAAGUGAGACUGUACUUAGUAAGCUAGGCUGCUGGAUCUGCCCACAGCUGGAUCUGCCCAAGCCCUGGCAGGGCAGUUCAAGCCUCUCCAUUCCUCUAUCCUUUACUUCAUUCGACUGUAACCAAAUCCCACAGUUUUGGUUACAACUUCCCCCAUUCACCAAGAACCAUUCCUCACCUCAUUGUUCUUCUCCUACCAGCUUCACUUAGGCCUUUACCUCUUCCUCUAAGGUCUAAGGAGGCAGGUUGGCCUGCCUCCUUCCUCUAAGACAAUGGCCUCCAGCAUUGUCCACUAAUAGUCUCUUAAUAGUCACCUCCUUCGGAAAGGUCUCUGGUGGGCCCCUGCCCCUCUCAGCCUCAGGGCAAGAAAGAGACACAGGUUUCACACACCAAGUCCAGUUCACUGGCAUUAGUGACCAGAAAGAAUUAACCUCUGCUGAGGUGGGGUUGGCAGGACUCAUGCUACCCACCAGCUGUCUAACAAAAAGGCACUCUGUGGGACCCAGGGUGCCUGGUCCUGGCUAUGCACCAGUUGUUGGCUCUCGUCUAUAGCCCUAUGCAAUUCCCUCAGGCAUCCCUAGAGUCUCAGGGUCCACCCCCACUGUGCCCACUGAUGUCUGCCCCAUGCGUGCCUCCUCUACAUGCACAGCACAUGUGCUGCACCUGCUUCCACGAGGAAACGUUACAGCGACCAUAGAGCUUCUCUGUGGGAGGGGACGUCAAGGAUCAACCGAAGUCACCUUUGUCAGAAUUCCCAUUCUUGUCAUCCCUAGCACAUGACUAAUGGUGUCCAUUGUAACUCAUUCUUCCUACCCAUCAAAACUAUUCAACUCCCUUAGUGUCUUUGUCUUCUAGGAUUGUGACCCCCACUCCACCCCCAGAGGUGCAAAACACAAAUCAGUUUAGUCAUUGGUCCUGAGUGUCUGUCACACAAAAGGGCACUGUUGGGAGCUUAGGAAGCUUGGAGCUCCCCCCACCCCAGUACCCCUUCUGCUGUGACUUACUUUAAUCUGGGCAGCAUCCCCUCUGGAAUAGUGAUUACAGUAUGGUGGGACUGAACCUGAGGGUCUCUGCAGAUCCUCCUGGCUUUAGCUACAAGACCACAGCCAAAAAUGCACAGGCUUUGGGCUUCCUGAGACUACAGGGUAACAUUCACCCAGUGCUGGGCCCACAAGACAACACAACCCCAGUGGUUCCUCAGGGUGGCACAGAUCUGCUGCUGCAAUGAGCCAGACUCCUGAAAUGGGUGGUUAGAAUAUUGGGAUCUGUGUGUGUGUGUGUGUGUGUGUGUGUGUGUGUGCAGCUAAGUAUAAGGGACAAUGAAGAGUGAUUUUUAUCUCCCUCCGAGGACGCAGAAGUGCGCCACGCUAUAUUUAUCCCUUCUGUCUCCUGAUUUAGACCAGAAGUUUUUCCUGAUCAGUCCUCACUUGCCAAUACUUUCACUCUACAUCUAAAUGAAGAACCGAAGUCAUGUAAGUUCACAGACUCAAUGGACAGCUGAUUUACAAAGCCCUUCGAGAGUGGCUGCAGGCUGAUGCUGGCAACCCCAUAAUUAGAUUCUGCAAGCUUUGCAGUGAUUUUUUUAACUGUUUUUUUAAUAACUCAGUCUUCCUUCUGGGAUGAAGGGAAAGAUAGAAUUUGUUAAAAUUAAAUUGAGAUUUAGUGGCUUUUCAGCCUUCUGCUGCUCGGUGCUCUAAAUAUUCUAUAAAUAAGAGAAGCCCUGCCCUAUAGUGCACUGUAAACACCCACAGACACUCAGAGCCAAAUUCUUCCAAUUAUGACCCUGUGCCUGUUGCCAAGCUACUGCAAGGACCUACUUGAAAGGCAGCCAUCUAGGCCAUUUCCUGAUUAAGCUGCCUGUAGCAAGGAAUCCAGGCCUGCUGCUCUGGCCUCACAGCCAGUCCCAAAUAACAGAUCUGUGUUCCUGAAUUAAGCCUUUUCCUUGUGAUAGAAUUACAAUUCAAAGGUUACUGCAAAACUCACUAUGCGCCCAACCAUCCUUUGGCCUGGGCUGGGUGUCCAUUUAAGAUGGAGGGCUGUCACACUGAGACUUUUAAAAUCAGGCAGCCGAAGUGCAGUCCCAGCAGCAUUUCUAAUUGUGUUCAACAAAUCAAGGUCAAACAAAAGUAGGUCAGCUGUCAACAUGACAGGUGAGUCAGAUACUGCAGGCCCUGCUGUACAGCUGCUUCGUGAACAGCAGGGGGCACCACUACCCAGUGCAGAGACUCAAAUGGUCCUUCAACAAGUCCUCACCACACCCUAAGCAGUGGUGCAUGGGGCAGGGUCCUGGGUUUACUGAUUAGCAGCUCAAACAUCAGUGCUUUCUGGCAUUCACCAGACUGCAGAGCCCUUAAAGGACUGCCUAAGAAGCAGUCUGUGAGCGCCAUGUGUCACUGAGAUUACUUCCAGCUCCUUAGAAACCAGGAUGCUCCAAGCAGUGUGGAGCAAAAUGAGCUCAGGCUAGAAUAGAAGCAAUCUGCCUCCCAACAGGAGGCUCCCUGCUCGCUGGUGGCUCACUUGGGUGUGGACUCAAAGGGCAUCAUCUGAGGCCAGUGAGAUGCUCUGGGAGCCAGUUCCCACCCCAGAAGGGAAGGAUCCACUCUGAAUGGCAGCCUCUUGGUGAGCUGGCACCUCUCAAAAGAGAACUGAGGUGUUAAUGUGGGCCGGCUCCCAAAACUCAUAGUGUAGACCAAUAUAGUUAUAGGGACAGGGUUUCGAAGUGGACCUCCAGGAAUGCUGGGAAGCGGGGGCCACAAAGCACUGAACCCCUUCAGAGAGGCCUCAAACCAAAGUGGUCCUUUCCACCAUUGUAUGUGUCACAGGGUUCUAUUAUCUAUUAACUGUUAACAUGUACAUAUGAGUGUUUGCUCUUAGCCCCUGAGCAUUAGGUCAGAGACACUCUCUCUGCUUUGCUUGGUUCCCUCGGCAGAGUCACGGCAACAUCUCUGGCCUUCAGUGAGUACUCUGUACAUACCCACAGAGGAAAUGAGCAUGUGCACAGACCUCAGCAGGGGUCUGGAACAGGAGAGCCCCCAUGCAAUGCUAUGAAACUGGUCUUUGUGCACAAUGGGAUAAAGCAAAGUUCAGGGAGGGUGCCUGUCUGCUCAUCUUUAGUAAGCAAUGGGGAUGAAUUUGAAAGCCAGGCAUGCAACAUUCCAACCCUGCUUCUACAGUGAGCACCCACGGCUUUUAGAAUCUAGAAGCAGCAAAGAGUAACAACCUUUGAGGAGGAACCCACUCGUCAGGAAGAACUUUUCCAUCAACCACCUAAUUAAUAUACGCCAGGCUCAGCUCCUGCAACCCAAAUCCAGGUCCCGACCCAUCUUCAGAAGCACUGACAACCACAGCCGGAGCAGGGUGGAGAAUUCUGGGCCUCCUCUCUGGUGGUGACAGUCAUCAUAGCCGUCGCUGUUAGCAACAGCAGGCUACUCCACGGUUCUCUGGAACAGUUCCAAAGAAAGGCCCGCAGGCAAGUCUGGGCCUGGCAGUGGUAAGGUCCUUGGAAUUUGCCGUUUCCCAACCCAAGAAUCAGACACUUGAAUAGAUAAGAGGGAGAGAGGGGAACACAAUGUUUAAAACUGAAAUCCCCCAAGUCUUUAAGUUGACAAGUGGCAACUGGAGUUGACCUGAAUUGAGAACAUUAAUCUCUGCAGAAGCUAAGUUUAUCCCCAUUAUAAUCUAUACACCACAACAACACUCCAAUCCAUCUGAUAUUUUGGGCCGAGCACCCCCACGCACACCAGGCUGUCUGCUAGUUGCAAGCUCUGCCUUGAAUUCAUGUGCAAAGCAGCAGGUGCAGCUCACCAAACGGCCAGGCUAGCGCUAGUACGUGAAUCCAUUUCCCAAUUAUGAGAAAUAAAUGCAAGUCGCAAAUGUCAUCAGAAGCAGGUAUUUCCAAAUGCUACCAAGACGUGCUACGGCCCUUAGACACAGCAUCCUUUAGAUGUGCUAAGCCCUCCACAGUUGCCAAGGAGCAAAGACAUGGAGACAGAGAGUACACAGCCUGACCCUGGGUAUGGAGGUGCAGCUGGAAGUGGCAGGCUUGAGGGCAGUCCCUGAUGAAAGAGCCAGGCUUGUGGGUACUUUUCUUCUUUUGGGGGCGUGUUUACAAACACUACCAGCUUCACAAGGUAAUCCUACACACACACACACACACACACACACACACACACUCCCUGAAAGGAUAAGGAGUUCCAUACUUUCUUCUGUCACUUUUGUGACACUUAAUUUAAGUCAACCCUACAACAUAAAUGACCACCCAGGAGGAACCUGCUUCUCACAGCACAUGGAUUGACAAUGACGAGUAUGGGAAAUUGUACAAGCUCCUAUGUGGACAAUCCAACCAUGGAGGCUUUUUUAGUCAGUGGCAAUACACAAUGACGAUGUUAGCUACCCAAGCUUAGCUUAGCCAUUUGUCCUAUGAUACGGACAAAUGGCGCACCCAGAGAAAGAACAGGAAUGCCAACAUGGGGACCAGAAGUUCCCAGACAAGAGGAACUUGGGAACAGCAGUAUGGGACAGGGUAAAAGGAAUGCAGGGUGCUACCUGUGCAGUGAUGUUAAUAGGAUAUUAAUGGUGAUAAUAAUCAUAGCUGCAAUGUGCUAUCAGUGACUGACAGAGCAAUAUUUAACUCACUGUAAGCAGUAAGUGUAUGUUAUUUCCUUUCUUUCCUUCUUUGUGUUUGGUGGAGGGAGUGAGGCAGUACCUUGUGUAGCCUAGGCUGGCCUCAAACGGACUCUACAUCCCAGGAUGGCCCUAAGCUCCUGCUCUUCCUGCCUCCACCUGCCAAACACUGGGAUUACGAGGCAUUCAGCCACCACACCUGGGAGAGGGUAUUUCAUUUAAUUUUCACAGUAAGUCUAUGGACCCUCUCUAGGUUACGUCCAUUUUCCAGAUCUGGAAAGAGAAAAUUGAAGAGACUGGAGUAGCAUUCCCAAGGGCUACAGUGAGCUGAGGUUCAGCUGCAAUCCAUCUGGUUCUGAGUCCAUGCUCUUAAGGAUGGCAAGGGCUAGCAGAACGCACAUGAGCUGUUUCACACCACAGUUAGCACCCUGGAAGCACUCAGAUGUAGCUGCUUAUGCUAUCUCUAUGCCACAGGGACCAGAAGGGAUGGCAGAGGCAAGAGGUGGCCUCUACAGACAGUGGCAUUUUGCUUCACGGGGCUCAGCAUAACCACUGGAGACUUUGGAGCAAGGCCUAAGAAACUAGGAUGCAGCCAGACUUAAGAGGUGCAGGCCUGUCAAGAGGCUAAGACAGGGAUACUCUGAGUUCAAGACCUGCACCCCUAUUAAGUGAACUAAAUUAAGGGUAAGACUGGGCUUCCUCAGAGAUAAUCGACUAUCAUCACAACUGGAGAGGACUAGGUUCUUAGAGAAAAAAAAAAAUAGCUCUCAUCUAUAGAGGUGUUUUCCCAGACUGCCCCUUAGAGUGCUCUGCACAGAGCUACCCAAUGCUCUGCAUGAUGCUCCUCAGAGAGGUGCUCAGAGAGCCAAUAGCCUUACAUAAAAUACAUCCUCAGUGCACGUUUUCAUGGAGAGAAAAACAGCAGGGCGAGCUAGUUACCUGCCUCUCUCCAUACCAGCUCACCCCACCACACUAUCCCAACACAAAUCACAGAUCCUCAGAGAGUCUCCCAGUCCUGUCAUCUGUUGCCUCAGCAUUGAUUUCCUGGACCGUUCUACCAGCCUUUGAAGACUUGCUGCCACCUCCCUCCCACAGUCCAGCCCCCACACUGCCACCAGCUGGCUUUCUAAAAUAAAAGUGUUGACCAACAUCACUCACCUCCUGAAAAAUGUCUGCUGGAACCACAAUACCGGAACAGACACCAUGUUGGUAUAUAUGCUAAUUCAGCCACAGACUCAUCACAGCUCAUCUUUAAAGCCCCCGAGGAGUGGGAAUAACAAACAAGGACCCUCCUUCUGGAUUUCUGGUCUAGAGAAAUACAAUGCACAGUAUACAAGAAGACAAAGUAGUGAUGACUGGUAAUGGAAAUUAACCUGAUUGUAAGGACAGGUCAAUGGCUGGGUAGACUAAGGAGAGGGAACAGGGUUGUUUUGUUUUGUUUUUAAAGUAUUUUAAAAGACAGACGAGAAAUUACUUGAAUGGAAACCAGACCAGAAAAGUCUGAGUGUUAUGUAACAGUUUCCUCUGAGAUUGAAACAUUGUAUCCUACAGGGAAGCUCCUUAAGCAGGGAGAUAAACAACUCAAAAUAGUGACAGGAAGUCCCUGAAACUAACCAGAUUCAUCAGGUACCUCCCCAUCAGAGUAAACAAUAAAAGCUGAUCGUUCCUCUCAGAAGAGGCGAAGCCAGCUGCAAAGAAGACUCAAAACAAGCAAAGCUGCAAAAACUGGGAUGAGACGUGCUGCCUGGAAGAAGCUCAACCAGCCAAGCUGCCUGGAAGAAAUUUGGACCAACUGAAAGACCUGGAAAGGAUGCUCUCCAAUGCGUUGAGCUGUCAGCAGGCUGUGCAUUGUGUUCCAGGUUCCCAGCUUUAUAAGCUGUCACCUAUGCUGGGGUGGACUUUGGUAAUGCAGCCCUUUGAGUCAUUUCUGCUCCUGUAAGUAAACCUAAUAAAACUCAUUGGCCCACCAA